This is a long non-coding RNA of Panthera uncia (snow leopard), 944 nucleotides long. RefSeq lists it as uncharacterized. The record is from RefSeq and is a predicted model, not a curated record. NCBI's taxonomy places the organism in Eukaryota, Metazoa, Chordata, Mammalia, Carnivora, Felidae. The transcript has 2 exons.
GCGAUGGCGGCAGCUCUGGGGUGUCCCUCCGGACUGGACGGCCGUGGGCUCCGUCGGCGUCCGGCGAGGCCGGGGCAGAGCCUGACUUGGCCCAAGCCCGGUGGACGUGCUGCCCGGACAAGCGGCUCCAGCCCUCCCCCGGGGAUCCCUCUGCACUGUAGCACCUGCGUCACCCUCCUGCACCCCACCUCCUUGUCCAGGGAAGCCUCGAGGUGCAGGGACCGGUCAGACAUGAGGAAGUGGCGUGUGGUUUCUGCUGAGGGCUGGGGGCCGGGUUUCUCUGGGGCAAAUUGCACCUUUCGGAUCACCAGCCGCACAGAGUUCCUGGGGGUGGGGAGGAGGGGUGGGAGGGGCCGGGCCUCAGACACCCAGACCGCCCCCCCCGCCCCCCCCCCCCACGGGCCUGGGGCUCCUGGGAGAGGGGAGGACGCGAUCAAACCAUACAGGGGCUCGGUUCCCUCACCUUUUGUGGCUUUUCUCUUCUAGCGAUUUGGCACAGAAGGCUCGAAUCUCAAAGUCUACUCCACAGGCCUCAGGAGGAGGAGAAAAGGUCACGUCUUACACAAGGUCCCCUCUGCCACCACGCCCUUCCUUCCCUCGUCUUCAUCAGGGACUCUUGCCUCAUCACAGUCUGAGGAGUGUGGGGCCUGGGGCUCCGUCCCCCCGCCUCUGCUAAAAGCCCAGUACCUGGCCGAGUGAGCCCCCGUACUCCCCGUGGGCGUGCGGCUCCCGAGUCACACGCGAGCGGUGACCCUCCCCCACACACCGUAUUUCCACUGGGGACGGUUCCCACCCCGCUCCUCCCUGACAGCCCCCCUCUCGGGUGUGCCCCGGGCUCCUACUGGGCCCUGGUCUGCCCCGGGAGCCCUCAGAGCCCUUCCUGCCGCACCUUCCCCGUGUCCUCUGGGCCCGGCUGCAGCGUGACGGAGCAGGGCAGGUUCUGG